UAGUAACUGCGAGUGAAGCGGGAAAAGCUCAAAUUUAAAAUCUGGCGGCUUUGGUCGUCCGAGUUGUAUUCUAGAGAAGUGUUUUCCGCGUUGGACCGUGUAUAAGUCUCUUGGAACAGAGCGUCAUAGAGGGUGAGAAUCCCGUCUUUGACACGGACUACCAAUGCUUUGUGAUGCGCUCUCAAAGAGUCGAGUUGUUUGGGAAUGCAGCUCAAAAUGGGUGGUAAAUUCCAUCUAAAGCUAAAUAUUGGCGAGAGACCGAUAGCGAACAAGUACCGUGAGGGAAAGAUGAAAAGCACUUUGGAAAGAGAGUUAAACAGUACGUGAAAUUGCUGAAAGGGAAACGCUUGAAGUCAGUCGCGUUGGCUAGAACUCAACCAGGCUUGCCUGGCGUACUUUCUAGUCAACGGGCCAGCAUCAGUUUUGACCACAGGAAAAAGGCCAGGGAAAUGUGGCACCUUCGGGUGUGUUAUAGUCUCUGGUCAUAUACUGUGAUUGGGACUGAGGAUCGCAGCACGCGCAAGUUGUGCUUAGGAUGCUGGCGUAAUGGCUUUAAACGACCCGUCUUGAAACACGGACCAAGGAGUCUAACAAACCUGCRAGUAUUUGGGUGGUAAACCCGAGUGCGCAAUGAAAGUGAAAGUUGGGAUCUCUGUCGUGGGGAGCACCGACGCCCGGACCAGACCUUCUGUGACGGAUCUGCGGUAGAGCAUGUUUGUUGGGACCCGAAAGAUGGUGAACUAUGCCUGAAUAGGGUGAAGCCAGAGGAAACUCUGGUGGAGGCUCGUAGCGAUUCUGACGUGCAAAUCGAUCGUCAAAUUUGGGUAUAGGGGCGAAAGACUAAUCGAACCAUCUAGUAGCUGGUUCCUGCCG
Molecule: ribosomal RNA, 873 nt
Filed under: Irpex sp.
Lineage: Eukaryota; Fungi; Basidiomycota; Agaricomycetes; Polyporales; Irpicaceae
Description: partial large subunit ribosomal RNA
Source: RNAcentral